This 1107-nucleotide long non-coding RNA is filed under the name Gossypium barbadense (sea-island cotton). RNAcentral's name for it is "long non-coding RNA (GBAR_LNC012932)". Lineage: Eukaryota; Viridiplantae; Streptophyta; Magnoliopsida; Malvales; Malvaceae. The record is from RNAcentral.
CGCCCCCCAAGAUCUGACCACGACGAACGGGACAAGACCCUCCGACAGUGUGAAUGUGAUAUAACUCCGGUAAAUCUCUCGUUCUCUCUAUACCUCGUAUUUGUGUCGAAAUAGAAACAGAAUAACAGAAUAAAAAAAAAUCAUCUUUGGAGUAUUUUUGGCUGAUCUUUAUUGAUUUUAGUUUGCUUGUGGUACUAAAUAACGUAACUCGUUUUUCUUGAAAAGAAAGUGAAACCCCCCUUUAGUACAAUCUCUUCUCUCCGAAACACAAUCGAUUCCUCUCUAAAAUCCCCCCUUUCAAAAUUUUUCUCUUUUCGGUUUUUAUAACCGAUUACAAUCACCAUAAAAACUCCCAUUCCUCUGUUGUUGCUGCGGUUUUAUAACCGACACACCCAUACCCUGCAAACACAAACAACAAAAACAGCAGCAACAACAGAGGAAUGAGAGUUUUUAUGGUGAUUGUAAUCGGUUAUAAAAACCGAAAAGAGAAAUUUUGAAAAGGGGGAUUUUAGAGAGGAAUCGAUUGUAUUUCGGAGAGAAGAGAUUGUACUAAAGGGGGGUUUUUCACUUUCUUUUCAAGAAAAACGAGUUACGUUUUUUAGUACCACAAGCAAACUAAAAUCAAUAAAGAUCAGCCAAGAAUACUCCAAAGGUGAUUUUUUUUGUUUUUUUAUUCUGUUAUUCUGUUUCUAUUUCGACACAAAUACGAUGUAUAGAGAGAACGAGAGACUUACCGGAGUUAUAUCACAUUCACACUGUCGGAGGGUCUUGUCCCGUUCGUCGCGGUCAGAUCUUGGUGGCGGUUGUAGGCCAGAAUAAUAGCCUUUCAGUUGAGAAGGGAAGUGGAGAAGCUGAGAAAGUUAUAAGCUUUAAAAAUUUUCUUUCAAAAAAAAGGACAAAAGGUUAAAAAGUGUAUUUUAAAAUAAAAAUGGUUUAAAUAAUAAAAAAGGGUUGAAACAGCAUGGGAAAGGGGAAAGGGAUAGCAUGUUUUGACCUAGUCCACGCGCACUUUCCCCUUAAAUGGUUAAUUUGCGUGGCCAGUCCUCCCUUGUUAGCCGUGCACUCAAAUUGGUCCUAUUCUCUUUAUUUUUUAUUCUGAAUUGGCCC